CCUACGGGAGGCAGCAGUGGGGAAUAUUGGGCAAUGGGCGCAAGCCUGACCCAGCAACGCCGCGUGAAGGAAGAAGGCUUUCGGGUUGUAAACUUCUUUUCUCAGGGACGAAGCAAGUGACGGUACCUGGGGAAUAAGCCACGGCUAACUACGUGCCAGCAGCCGCGGUAAUCCGUAGGUGGCAAGCGUUAUCCGGAUUUACUGGGUGUAAAGGGCGUGUAGGCGGGACGGCAAGUCAGAUGUGAAAGCCACGGGCUCAACCUGUGGCCUGCAUUUGAAACUGUAGUUCUUGAGUACUGUGGAGGCAGACGGAAUUCGUAGUGUAGCGGUGAAAUGCGUAGAUAUUAGGAGGAACACCAGUGGCGAAGGCGGUCUGCUGGACAGCAACUGACGCUGAGGCGCGAAAGCGUGGGGAGCAAACAGGAUUAGAUACCCCGGUAGUC
This 443-nucleotide ribosomal RNA is filed under the name uncultured bacterium. RNAcentral's name for it is "partial 16S ribosomal RNA". It matches the Rfam family "Bacterial small subunit ribosomal RNA", at positions 338 to 795 of the family's 1533-position model. The record is from RNAcentral.